Molecule: ribosomal RNA, 2900 nt
Filed under: Klebsiella pneumoniae
Lineage: Bacteria; Pseudomonadati; Pseudomonadota; Gammaproteobacteria; Enterobacterales; Enterobacteriaceae
Description: bacterial LSU rRNA
Rfam family: Bacterial large subunit ribosomal RNA
Source: RNAcentral
UUAAGCGACUAAGCGUACACGGUGGAUGCCCUGGCAGUCAGAGGCGAUGAAGGACGUGCUAAUCUGCGAAAAGCGUCGGUAAGGUGAUAUGAACCGUUAUAACCGGCGAUGUCCGAAUGGGGAAACCCAGUGCAAUUCGUUGCACUAUCGUUAACUGAAUACAUAGGUUAACGAGGCGAACCGGGGGAACUGAAACAUCUAAGUACCCCGAGGAAAAGAAAUCAACCGAGAUUCCCCCAGUAGCGGCGAGCGAACGGGGAGCAGCCCAGAGUCUGAAUCAGCUUGUGUGUUAGUGGAACGGUCUGGAAAGUCCGACGGUACAGGGUGAUAGUCCCGUACACCAAAAUGCACAGGUUGUGAACUCGAAGAGUAGGGCGGGACACGUGGUAUCCUGUCUGAAUAUGGGGGGACCAUCCUCCAAGGCUAAAUACUCCUGACUGACCGAUAGUGAACCAGUACCGUGAGGGAAAGGCGAAAAGAACCCCGGCGAGGGGAGUGAAAAAGAACCUGAAACCGUGUACGUACAAGCAGUGGGAGCACCUUCGGGUGUGACUGCGUACCUUUUGUAUAAUGGGUCAGCGACUUAUAUUCUGUAGCAAGGUUAACCGUAUAGGGGAGCCGCAGGGAAACCGAGUCUUAACUGGGCGUUAAGUUGCAGGGUAUAGACCCGAAACCCGGUGAUCUAGCCAUGGGCAGGUUGAAGGUUGGGUAACACUAACUGGAGGACCGAACCGACUAAUGUUGAAAAAUUAGCGGAUGACUUGUGGCUGGGGGUGAAAGGCCAAUCAAACCGGGAGAUAGCUGGUUCUCCCCGAAAGCUAUUUAGGUAGCGCCUCGUGAACUCAUCUUCGGGGGUAGAGCACUGUUUCGGCUAGGGGGUCAUCCCGACUUACCAACCCGAUGCAAACUACGAAUACCGAAGAAUGUUAUCACGGGAGACACACGGCGGGUGCUAACGUCCGUCGUGAAGAGGGAAACAACCCAGACCGCCAGCUAAGGUCCCAAAGUCAUGGUUAAGUGGGAAACGAUGUGGGAAGGCACAGACAGCCAGGAUGUUGGCUUAGAAGCAGCCAUCAUUUAAAGAAAGCGUAAUAGCUCACUGGUCGAGUCGGCCUGCGCGGAAGAUGUAACGGGGCUAAACCAUGCACCGAAGCUGCGGCAGCGACACUAUGUGUUGUUGGGUAGGGGAGCGUUCUGUAAGCCUGCGAAGGUGUGCUGUGAGGCAUGCUGGAGGUAUCAGAAGUGCGAAUGCUGACAUAAGUAACGAUAAAGCGGGUGAAAAGCCCGCUCGCCGGAAGACCAAGGGUUCCUGUCCAACGUUAAUCGGGGCAGGGUGAGUCGACCCCUAAGGCGAGGCCGAAAGGCGUAGUCGAUGGGAAACAGGUUAAUAUUCCUGUACUUGGUGUUACUGCGAAGGGGGGACGGAGAAGGCUAUGUUAGCCGGGCGACGGUUGUCCCGGUUUAAGCAUGUAGGCUGGUUAUCCAGGCAAAUCCGGAUAAUCAAGGCUGAGGUGUGAUGACGAGGCACUACGGUGCUGAAGUAACAAAUGCCCUGCUUCCAGGAAAAGCCUCUAAGCAUCAGGUAACAUCAAAUCGUACCCCAAACCGACACAGGUGGUCAGGUAGAGAAUACCAAGGCGCUUGAGAGAACUCGGGUGAAGGAACUAGGCAAAAUGGUGCCGUAACUUCGGGAGAAGGCACGCUGGUGUGUAGGUGAAGUCCCUGCGGAUGGAGCUGAGACCAGUCGAAGAUACCAGCUGGCUGCAACUGUUUAUUAAAAACACAGCACUGUGCAAACACGAAAGUGGACGUAUACGGUGUGACGCCUGCCCGGUGCCGGAAGGUUAAUUGAUGGGGUUAUCCGUAAGGAGAAGCUCUUGAUCGAAGCCCCGGUAAACGGCGGCCGUAACUAUAACGGUCCUAAGGUAGCGAAAUUCCUUGUCGGGUAAGUUCCGACCUGCACGAAUGGCGUAAUGAUGGCCAGGCUGUCUCCACCCGAGACUCAGUGAAAUUGAACUCGCUGUGAAGAUGCAGUGUACCCGCGGCAAGACGGAAAGACCCCGUGAACCUUUACUAUAGCUUGACACUGAACAUUGAGCCUUGAUGUGUAGGAUAGGUGGGAGGCUUUGAAGCGUGGACGCCAGUCUGCGUGGAGCCAACCUUGAAAUACCACCCUUUAAUGUUUGAUGUUCUAACGUUGGCCCCUUACCGGGGUUGCGGACAGUGUCUGGUGGGUAGUUUGACUGGGGCGGUCUCCUCCCAAAGCGUAACGGAGGAGCACGAAGGUUAGCUAAUCCUGGUCGGACAUCAGGAGGUUAGUGCAAUGGCAUAAGCUAGCUUGACUGCGAGCGUGACGGCGCGAGCAGGUGCGAAAGCAGGUCAUAGUGAUCCGGUGGUUCUGAAUGGAAGGGCCAUCGCUCAACGGAUAAAAGGUACUCCGGGGAUAACAGGCUGAUACCGCCCAAGAGUUCAUAUCGACGGCGGUGUUUGGCACCUCGAUGUCGGCUCAUCACAUCCUGGGGCUGAAGUAGGUCCCAAGGGUAUGGCUGUUCGCCAUUUAAAGUGGUACGCGAGCUGGGUUUAGAACGUCGUGAGACAGUUCGGUCCCUAUCUGCCGUGGGCGCUGGAGAAUUGAGGGGGGCUGCUCCUAGUACGAGAGGACCGGAGUGGACGCAUCACUGGUGUUCGGGUUGUCAUGCCAAUGGCACUGCCCGGUAGCUAAAUGCGGAAGAGAUAAGUGCUGAAAGCAUCUAAGCACGAAACUUGCCCCGAGAUGAGUUCUCCCUGAGACUUUAAGUCUCCUGAAGGAACGUUGAAGACGACGACGUUGAUAGGCCGGGUGUGUAAGCGCAGCGAUGCGUUGAGCUAACCGGUACUAAUGAACCGUGAGGCUUAACCUU